UACGAAGGGGGCUAGCGUUGUUCGGAAUUACUGGGCGUAAAGAGCUCGUAGGCGGCCUGUCGCGUUGUUCGUGAAAAUUUACCGCUCAACGGUGAACUUGCGGGCGAUACGGGCAGGCUAGAGUACUGCAGGGGAGACUGGAAUUCCUGGUGUAGCGGUGAAAUGCGCAGAUAUCGGGAGGAACACCUAUGGCGAAGGCAGCUCGCUGGGACGUUACUGACGCUGAGACGCGAAAGCGUGGGGAGCAAACAGG
RNAcentral lists this ribosomal RNA (253 nucleotides) under uncultured bacterium. Its description in RNAcentral is "partial 16S ribosomal RNA". It matches the Rfam family "Bacterial small subunit ribosomal RNA", at positions 524 to 776 of the family's 1533-position model. The record is from RNAcentral.